AGUGUGGUGACUGUCAUGUUCUUGUGCCCCUCGUGUUGUGAAAGAGUUGGAGUCCUUGUGUUUGGCAUGUUCCAAGGCAAAUGACCCUGGUUUACAUUUGCUCAUGUCAAAGGAACUGCGUGCUACAGACAGAGCAGACCGAAACUAACAGAGUGCUUCACAAACAGUGAUGGAGAGCGAAAAUGCAAAAGAACAACUGCAGCAUCUUUUCCAAGCAAGGGAGAAGGGGCAUACUGGAAAGAGAAGAGCCUUCGCUCCUAGCUGGGCGGCUCCAGAUUAUUCACUGGGUAAUCUUCCUCCAGUAAGAAAUGUCCUGAACUGAGAGGCAUCUUUGAUCGACCACUCCUUACCGAAGCGAUCAAAACUGUGUGCGUAAAAACUGUCUUGUUCCUCAUUGCUAUUACUUAACCUCGAUCAUUUGCAUGCUCUGUAUGGCAGAUGUCAGCAAGAGGUCUAGCAACUUGCCAGACUCCACUCAGUCAGCAUUACA
RNAcentral lists this long non-coding RNA (490 nucleotides) under Chrysolophus pictus (golden pheasant). RNAcentral describes it as "lncRNA (ENSCPIG00010013507.1)". The record is from RNAcentral. Lineage: Eukaryota; Metazoa; Chordata; Aves; Galliformes; Phasianidae.